GAGUUUGACCCUGGCUCAGAAACAACGCUAGCUAUAUGCUUAAAAAAUGCAAGUCGAAAGGUAGUUUUUCUCGCCCAGGAAGUGAGAAGAGUUGAGAAUAAAGUGACGAACGGGUGCGUAACGUGUGGGAAUCUACCGAACAGUUCGGGUCAAAUCCUGAAAGCUAAAAACAUUGUUUGAUGAGCUUACAUAUAGUAUUAGGUAGAUGUUCAGGUUAAGGCUGACCAAGCCAAUAUGCUUAGCUGGUCUUUUCGGUGAUUAGGCAUACUGGGACUGAGACACGGCCCAGACUCUCAUGGAGGGCAGUAGUGGGGAAUCUUGGACAAUUGGCGAAAGCUCAAUCCAACAAUAUCACGUGAGUGAAGAAAGUCAAUGCUGCUUGUAAAUCUCUUUCGUCGAGUGUGCAAUCAUGACAGGAGUCGAGGAAGAAUUAACUAACUCUGUGUCAGUAGUCGCGGUAAGACGGUAAGAGGGGGAAAGUGUUCUUC
RNAcentral lists this non-coding RNA (488 nucleotides) under Solanum tuberosum (potato). Its description in RNAcentral is "Bacterial small subunit ribosomal RNA". It matches the Rfam family "Bacterial small subunit ribosomal RNA", at positions 9 to 546 of the family's 1533-position model. The record is from Rfam by way of RNAcentral. Lineage: Eukaryota; Viridiplantae; Streptophyta; Magnoliopsida; Solanales; Solanaceae.